Molecule: long non-coding RNA, 839 nt
Organism: Ictalurus furcatus (blue catfish)
Lineage: Eukaryota; Metazoa; Chordata; Actinopteri; Siluriformes; Ictaluridae
Exons: 2
Source: RefSeq, a predicted model, not a curated record
UGGUUUUAACAUCAGAGACUGAUUUAUGAUUUGAUUAGGUUUGUAAAUGCACGUAUAUUUAAUCAGACAGUCUCACUUGGAUAAAUAAAUAAAUGUAAAUAUUGGAAAGAGAUUUGUAAGAACAUCAGCAAUGAACUGCCAAAGACUGAUCGGGAUAUCUAUUGUUGAAAUAAAAAUACACUCCUAUUCACAUGCAGUGUGCGCGGACAGAAAUUACGAAGAAGAAGAAGAAGCGACGGUAGGAUCUCGCGCAUGCGCGCAUCACGACUGUCUCCUCUCAAAGUCACUGACGUCACAGCGGAAGUAGUGGAUUCGUGCUGAAUUGAAGCAUGUGUGUAUACAGCGCCGUAAACUGGAUCAACAACAUAUAACUGUUACAGUAUUUCAGCUAAUAUACAGUUUAUAGAAGAGGUGGUGGCGCCAUGGCACCUACAUUACUCCCGUCUCUGCUUGGGUCACUGACUCGGCAGCUGUCUUGGGCUGUGCGGUAUGCGUCUGUCGCCUGUCUUCCUGCUACUGGAGCACGUCGCUGCAUUUCCACCAUCACCUCUGCUAUGGUUCAGGCCAGAGGAAGAUUUCAGGCCCAGCACAAUCCUUUCCGAGCACCGUUACUUGGACAGAACCAGCAGUUUGUAGCUCUGCAGCCUUCGAUGGGCAUGAAAACCAAAACAGCUCUGAAGAAACGUUGUAAAGACUGCUUUUUUGUCCGUCGCCGAGGGCGACUGUUUGUAUUUUGCAAGAGCCACCCGAGGCACAAACAGCGGCAAGGGUGAAUCUGUUCUGAAGCUUUUCUGAACAACGUAUUCUCUGUAAUAAUAAAGCCAAGUGUGUCACUUGAA